This is a regulatory RNA element of Lottia gigantea (owl limpet), 114 nucleotides long. It matches the Rfam family "Potassium channel RNA editing signal". From Rfam's summary of the family: This family represents a group of sequences related to the human potassium channel Kv1.1 hairpin element which directs the efficient modification of an adenosine to inosine by an adenosine deaminase acting on RNA (ADAR). The record is from Rfam. NCBI's taxonomy places the organism in Eukaryota, Metazoa, Mollusca, Gastropoda, Lottiidae.
GUAGGGUACGGAGACAUGUAUCCAAACACUUUCCUCGGAAGAGUGGUUGGUUCUUUGGCUGCAAUUUGUGGAGUUCUGUUGAUUGCUGUCACCAUCCCCGUAUUCGUCAAUAAU